RNAcentral lists this ribosomal RNA (253 nucleotides) under uncultured bacterium. RNAcentral describes it as "partial 16S ribosomal RNA". It matches the Rfam family "Bacterial small subunit ribosomal RNA", at positions 524 to 776 of the family's 1533-position model. The record is from RNAcentral.
UACAGAGGGGGCAAGCGUUAUUCGGAAUUAUUGGGCGUAAAGGGCGCGUAGGCGGCCUGGCAAGCGGAAGGUGAAAUCCCUCGGCUUAACCGAGGAACUGCCCUCCAAACUGCUUGGCUUGAGACCGGGAGAGGUGAGUGGAAUUCCCAGUGUAGCGGUGAAAUGCGUAGAUAUCGAGAGGAACACCUGCGGCGAAGGCGGGUUGCUGGGCCGACACUGACGCUGAUGCGCGAAAGCCAGGGGAGCGAACGGG